AUGUUAUUGGGUUGUGCAAAAGUAAUUGCGGUUUUUGCCAUUAAAAGUAAUUGCAAAAACUGCAAUUACUUUUGCACCAACCUAA
Molecule: microRNA precursor, 85 nt
Filed under: Rhinopithecus roxellana (golden snub-nosed monkey)
Lineage: Eukaryota; Metazoa; Chordata; Mammalia; Primates; Cercopithecidae
Description: miRNA (ENSRROG00000026083.1)
Source: RNAcentral